UAUUAUAUAUUAAAGUAAAAAGAAACAUUAGCAGACCAUGUUCUGAAUCGCACAUGAACAAGAAACAAAGAACUUAAAUCCUAGUUACUUUCAUCUCAUUAACAAAGAAAACAAUCACAAAAAUCAAUCAGAAUUGCAAAACAAAAUUCAAAAGAGAAGAACACUACCAGAACGAAAUCAUUGGUAGAUAUAGCAUGGCGGUGGUUGCACGAUUUCAACGAGGAUUCUUUCAUGGUGGACGGUGGUGCGGUGUGCGACAUAAGUUCAAAAAGACCUAAUCAAGAUACAAACAAUUCAUGCAACACAUACAGGAAAAACAAGAUUAGAGAUUACCGAUUCGAAAGUUAUCAGAGGAGGAAUCCACAAAAGUAUGUCUCACUCUAUUUCUCCUUUUCUCUUGUUCUUUCUCUUUCUUUUGUUAAUAUUGUUUGUUCUUUACUGCGAGGUUGCUUAGGAUUGGUGGUUGGACUUCACGAAUGGAGCUUAGGGUUUAGUUAUUGUUGUUCUUCAAUGUGAAGAACAACAACUUUAGGAUAAUGAAUUUGUAAUUGUGGAUGAAUGAAAAGUGUGGACAUGCUCCCUAUUUAUAUAUGAAAAAUUAGGUCAAAAAUUGAAUGAAA
Long non-coding RNA from Lathyrus oleraceus (garden pea), 620 nucleotides. RefSeq lists it as uncharacterized. The transcript is spliced from 2 exons. The record is from RefSeq and is a predicted model, not a curated record. Lineage: Eukaryota; Viridiplantae; Streptophyta; Magnoliopsida; Fabales; Fabaceae.